AGCAGCCGCGGUAAUUCCAGCUCCAAUAGCGUAUAUUAAAGUUGUUGCAGUUAAAAGCUCGUAGUUGAAUUUCGGGAUUGACGUAAUGGUCGUGCCUUACGGGGUAUGAACUGUUGCUGUUGAUUUCUCACCUUCUGGAGAAACUUGAUGUCCUUAAUUGGGUGUCUUGCGGAUCCAGGACCUUUACCUUGAAAAAUUAGAGUGUUUAAAGCAGGCAUUUUUGCUCGAAUACAUUAGCAUGGACUAAUAGAAUAGGACGGCAUGGUUCUAUUUUGUUGGUUUCUAGGAUCACCGUAAUGAUUAAUAGGGAUAGUUGGGGGCAUUAGUAUUCAAUUGUCAGAGGUGAAAUUCUUGGAUUUAUUGAAGACUAACUACUGCGAAAGCAUUUGCCAAGGAUGUUUUCAUUAAUCAAGAACGAAAGUUAGGGAUCGAAGACGAUCAGAUACCGUCGUAGUCUUAACCAUAAACUAUGCCGACUAGGAAUCAGACGAUGUUAAUUUUUAAUGUACUUCGUUUGGCU
This 520-nucleotide unclassified non-coding RNA is filed under the name uncultured Entrophospora. Its description in RNAcentral is "SSU rRNA". It matches the Rfam family "Eukaryotic small subunit ribosomal RNA", at positions 569 to 1085 of the family's 1831-position model. Lineage: Eukaryota; Fungi; Glomeromycota; Glomeromycetes; Entrophosporales; Entrophosporaceae. The record is from RNAcentral.